CGCAUCUGUGCAUGCAGCAUAUCAAUAAGCGGAGGAAAAGAAACUAACAAGGAUUCCCUUAGUAACGGCGAGUGAAGCGGGAAGAGCUCAAAUUUGAAAUCUUCAAGGUUCUACCUUGACGAAUUGUAGUUUAAAGAGGUGUUUUCUGUUAGAUGAGUAGCAAAAGUUCCUUGGAAUGGGACAUCAUAGAGGGUGAGAAUCCCGUAUUUGGUUAUUCAUCCUAGCUUUGUGAUACACUUUCAAAGAGUCGGAUUGUCUUGGGAAUGCAGUCCAAAAUGGGUGGUAAAUUUCAUCUAAAGCUAAAUAUUGGCGAGAGACCGAUAGCGAACAAGUACCGUGAGGGAAAGAUGAAAAGAACUUUGAAAAGAGAGUUAAACAGUACGUGAAAUUGUCAAAAGGGAAGCGUUUGACACCAGUGUUGUUUUCUCGAAAAUCAAUUAAAAAGAGUUUGAUUUUGUUGUGUAUUGACCUUAACAGCUUGCAUUUCAAUUUUCUUGCUUUUUUUAAUGCACUUUUCGUUUAACAAGUCAACAUCAGUUUCUUUUGUUGUAAAAAGGUCAUUGGAAGGUGGCUUUCUUUUCGGAGAAAGUGUUUAUAGCCUUUGACUCCUGCAAUCGGAGAGACUGAGGUCUGCAGCGUAGAUCCUUCGGGGUUAGAUACAUUUGUGCUAAGUUAUAGCUUUUUAUAGACAACUUGUUGACUAUGAUUAGUCUUGUAGCUUACUCGCUUAUGCUAUUUUACCUACGCUUAGGAUGUUGAAGACUCUACAGAGAUA
Molecule: ribosomal RNA, 775 nt
Filed under: uncultured Neocallimastigales
Lineage: Eukaryota; Fungi; Neocallimastigomycota; Neocallimastigomycetes; Neocallimastigales
Description: partial large subunit ribosomal RNA
Rfam family: Eukaryotic large subunit ribosomal RNA
Source: RNAcentral